AGAGAGCACAGACAGAGAGAGAGCACAGACAGAGAGAGAGCACAGACAGAGAGAGAGGACAGACAGAGAGAGAGGACAGACAGAGAGAGAGCACAGACAGAGAGAGAGGACAGCGCUGCACUAUUUACUCAUCACACGUAUAAAACAAUCUGUUUCUCCUGUUGUUAGUGAAUUGUUGGGUCAUUUCUAAGUCUUGUCCAAAAUGGCAACCUAGUCCCUUGAUAGUGCACUACUUUUGACCCGGGCCAGUAGUGCACUAUCUAGUGAAUAGGGUGCCGUUUGGAACUCCCACCUGCUCUUGAUGAAUUUCUCCGGACAUUUCUAUGUUCUGUUGUUGCUAUAAUUAAUGAUGAAGGCAUCACACCUGAUUGUUCUCUAGUUCUCAUAAAGACAUGUACCCAUCUCUACUAUCUCUACCAUAGCCUCAGACAUCUCUACUGCUACCAGUCUCUUACCCCUCUCCUCAGGGGACCCUCAGACAUCUCUACUGCUACCAGUCUCUUACCCCUCUCCUCUGUGGACCCUCAGACAAUUCACAAUGUUGAUAUAGCCCUGAAGUAGCUCACCUGAUUCACCUAUAAGGGCCUGAUUAUUAGUUGACAAGUUGAAUCAGGUGUGCUAGCUGUGGUAUAGGUAAAAUACGUUGAAUGUCUGGGAGUCCAAGAGGAGAGGUUUGGAACAGCUGGGGGUCCCCGAGGAGAGGUUUGGAACAGCUGGGGGUCCCCGAGGAGAGGUUUGGAACAGCUGGGGGUCCCCGAGGAGAGGUUUGGAACAGCUGGGGGUCCCCGAGGAGAGGUUUGGAACAGCUGGGGGUCUCAGAGGAUAGGUUUGGAACAGCUGGGGGUCCUGAGGAGAGGUUUGGAACAGCUAGUUGUCCUGAGGAGAGGUUUGGAACAGCUGGGGUUCCCAGAGGAGAGGUUUGGAAAAGCUGGGGGUCUCAGAGGAGAGGUUUGGAACAACUAGUUGUCCUGAGAAGAUGUUUGGAACAGCUGGGGGUCCUGAGGAGAAUUUUGGAACAGCUGGGGUUCCCAGAGGAGAGGUUUGGAACAGCUGUGGGUCCUGAGGAGAGGUUUGGAACAGCUGGGGUCCUGAGGAGAGGUUUGGAACAACUAGUUGUCCUGAGAAGAUGUUUGGAACAGCUGGGGGUCCUGAGGAGAAUUUUGGAACAGCUGGGGUUCCCAGAGGAGAGGUUUGGAACAGCUGUGGGUCCUGAGGAGAGGUUUGGAACAGCUGUGGGUCCUGAGGAGAGGUUUGGAACAGCUGUGGGUCCUGAGGAGAGGUUUGGAACAGCUGUGGGUCCUGAGGAGAGGUUUGGAACAGCUGUGGGUCCUGAGGAGAGGUUUGGAACAGCUGUGGGUCCUGAGGAGAGGUUUGGAACAGCUGUGGGUCCUGAGGAGGAGGUUUGGAACAGCUGGGUGUCCUGAGGAGAGGUUUGGAACAGCUAGUUGUCCUGAGAAGAGGUUUGGAACAACUGGGGUUCCCAGAGGAGAGGUUUGGAACAGCUGGGGGUCUCAGAGGAGGAGAGGUUUGGGACAGCUGGGGGUCCUGAGGAGAGAUUUGGAACAGCUGGGGGUCUCAGAGGAGAGGUUUGGAACAGCUGGGGGCCUCAGAGGAGAGGUUUGGAACAGCUAAUUGUCUUGAGAAGAGGUUUGGAACAGCUGGGGGUCCAGAGGAAAGGUUUGGAACAGCUGGGGGUCCAGAGGAGAGGUUUGGAAAAGCUGGGGUUCCUAGAGGAGAGGUUUGGAACAGCUGGGGGUCUCAGAGGAGAGGUUUGGAACAGCUAGUUGUCCCGAGGAGAGGUUUGGAACAGCUAGUUGUCCCGAGUAGAGGUUUGGAACAGCUAGUUGUCCUGACGAGAGGUUUGGAACAGCUAGUUGUCCUGAGGAGAGGUUUGGGACUGCUGGGGGUCCCAGAGGAGAGGUUUGAGAACCCCUGUCUUAUCCGCUUUAUCAAGCCAUCCACCAUUCACAUCUUUAUACAGUGAUUUUCUGAUUAAUACAAAUGUUCCUUUAUUUAAACUCCGUGUUAUUGUCUCUUAAAUAAACAUUUUUCAGUAUUUGAUGUGAAUUUGGGGCAUUUGGCUUAACUUUUAAUAAACACAUUUUCUGUG
Oncorhynchus tshawytscha (Chinook salmon) is the source of this 2110-nucleotide long non-coding RNA. RefSeq lists it as uncharacterized. The record is from RefSeq and is a predicted model, not a curated record. NCBI's taxonomy places the organism in Eukaryota, Metazoa, Chordata, Actinopteri, Salmoniformes, Salmonidae. The transcript has 3 exons.